RNAcentral lists this ribosomal RNA (344 nucleotides) under Tenacibaculum aiptasiae. RNAcentral's name for it is "partial 23S ribosomal RNA". It matches the Rfam family "Bacterial large subunit ribosomal RNA", at positions 1168 to 1518 of the family's 2925-position model. Lineage: Bacteria; Pseudomonadati; Bacteroidota; Flavobacteriia; Flavobacteriales; Flavobacteriaceae. The record is from RNAcentral.
UAAUAAUCGGGCAUAAACAUAUUACCGAAGCUAUGGAUUUAUAUUUAGGUAUAAGUGGUAGGGGAGCAUUCUAUUUGCGCAGAAGGUGUACUGUGAGGUAUGCUGGAGCGGAUAGAAAAGAAAAUGUAGGCAUAAGUAACGAUAAAGGGGGCGAGAAACCCCCUCACCGAAAGACUAAGGUUUCCUCAGCGAUGCUAAUCAGCUGAGGGUUAGUCGGGACCUAAGGCGAAUCCGAAGGGAGUAGUCGAUGGACAACAGGUUAAUAUUCCUGUACUUCUUAUAAUUGCGAUGGGGUGACGGAGUGAUGAAAGCACCGCGAACUGACGGAAUAGUUCGUUGAAACA